Molecule: ribosomal RNA, 425 nt
Filed under: uncultured bacterium
Lineage: Bacteria
Description: partial 16S ribosomal RNA
Rfam family: Bacterial small subunit ribosomal RNA
Source: RNAcentral
GUGGGGAAUCUUGCGCAAUGGGCGAAAGCCUGACGCAGCCAUGCCGCGUGAAUGAUGAAGGUCUUAGGAUUGUAAAAUUCUUUCACCGGGGACGAUAAUGACGGUACCCGGAGAAGAAGCUCCGGCUAACUUCGUGCCAGCAGCCGCGGUAAUACGAAGGGGGCUAGCGUUGCUCGGAAUUACUGGGCGUAAAGGGCGCGUAGGCGGACAGCUUAGUCAGAGGUGAAAGCCCAGGGCUCAACCUUGGAAUUACCUUUGAUACUGGCUGUCUUGAGUUUGGGAGAGGUGAGUGGAACUCCGAGUGUAGAGGUGAAAUUCGUAGAUAUUCGGAAGAACACCAGUGGCGAAGGCGACUCACUGGCCCAAUACUGACGCUGAGGCGCGAAAGCGUGGGGAGCAAACAGGAUUAGAAACCCUGGUAGUCC